Long non-coding RNA from Xyrauchen texanus (razorback sucker), 2566 nucleotides. RefSeq lists it as uncharacterized. The record is from RefSeq and is a predicted model, not a curated record. The transcript has 8 exons. Lineage: Eukaryota; Metazoa; Chordata; Actinopteri; Cypriniformes; Catostomidae.
CUCUUCUCCGUGCGACUGCAAGAAGGGAUGUAUGGUGAGAUACCUCACUCCAGUUAUCAGAGAACCAGGGCUAUGAAAACGAAGAACCCAAUGCCUACUUGAAGAAUGCCCUCUCUCCUGUCCAGUCCUGAUUGUGAGUUCGUCCAACUGCCUCCUGGCUGUAGGAGAUGUGCUGAUAACUACAUUCCCAUAAGACAAGGUGAAUAAUCAAACACUUCACGAGAAGAUUCUUCAAGUGAAGGUAAUGCAUGCAUGGAUAUUAACGAUAACUUCAGCCACUUUGGAUAAUACCUGGAGAGGAAGUUCACACCUAAAGGAGUGGUGAUGUGAGCCAAGAUCUCGGAGUAUCUCCUGGGAAAUCAAGAGUCAUCAAACAGGCAACUGACACCUAGUGGUGUGGAUGCAGCACCAUUAAAACUCAACAGUUCUGUUGUUGGACUUUUUCACUCAUUAAUUAAAUUAAUCAUGGCUGAUAGUGAUUAGUGAAUUUCUACAAUGGCAUCAGUAAUGAUUAAUGUAAUUAAUGAGUGAAAAAGUCCAAUAACAGGGCAGUUACUGAAAUGUGUGGUCGCUCAAGGAGAAACCAUCAUCUGCACCAACACUGUGGACAAGGCCACUGAUGUGAGGGACGCCAUGUCUAAAGCUCUCUACAGACGCCUCUUCAGCUGGAUAGUGAAGCGCAUCAAUGCCCUGCUGCAGCCUCACAGCAACAUCUGAGUCAACAAAUGUGUCAGUGAAGAGCAUGCUUGAGAUAAAACAUGAGACAAGUGAUGUUUGAAGGAAACAGAAAAUUCAAGUGUAGCUGAGAGUGGGAUGAACAUGGGGAUUUUGGACAUCUUUGGUUUUGAGAACUUCAAGAAGAACUCAUUUGAGCAGCUGUGUAUCAACACUGCUAACAAACAGAUUCAGUUCUACUUCAACCAACACAUCUUCACACGGGAACAGACUCUGUGUAAGUACCUUAAACUGGCUUUAAAAAGACAGAAUGCAGAGAUCUGAAGAGAGCGGUUUACUACUGGUGGCAGACCACCAAUAAAAGACAAGACUGAUGAAUCGAAUGACCUGCUGUCUGGAACACCAGCAACUUAUGGAUGUUAUACAAGACGAUGACCAUUUGGACAGUUCAGAUGAAGGAAGAAAAGGAAAGGAAUCUGAACCAGUUGGAAGAGCCAGUGCACAGUGAGUGUGUACCCUCCACGUCUGCUAUAGCAUCUCUGAGAAUAGAUGCUGUCACCACCUUUCAGCAAAGAAAAACAAGAUGACCGUGCAUGAAAAGUUUUCCAGAGAAUUGCAUGAGCAUAAACUGAAAUAUCUGAAUGAAAAUUAGAAUUCUACAGGUUGAAUUGAAUAUGAGGUUGGAAGAGAGAGGGAUGAUCCAAAAAAGAUACAGUAAGGAGACAGUUGUUAUUACCAGCCAUGGUGAACAAUACGAUAAAAUAUAUGUUUUGUAAUUUGAAUAUUCAUGAGUGAGAAUAUUUUAAUCACCACAAACUGAAUUUUAAACAAGCCUUGGUUUAGUCACCAUUUUAAAUUUGCUGUACACUAUUUGAAUUUUGUACAGAACAAACAUUAAUGCAUCUCAUCUAGUUGAAAUGCUGCAAUGUGAAAGCAACUCUGUGUGCAAGUCCUCAUUGGUAAUUGCCUGCCUCAGCCAUGGGCACAACUGCUUGAUCUUGAUCCUCCAUUGGAGGGUAGUUGUGCAUCACAGCUGUAGCAAUGAUCACCUUGCAGCAUCUUCUUCUGUUGCAAAGAAAUGUAUUGCAUAAACACUGGAAUCGAUUUUUCCAUACUCCAAACAUAUGCUCGACCAUCCCUCUCAUAUGGAUAUGAGCACUGUUGUAUCUUUGCUGCUCAGCUUUUGUGGGAUUUAUGUAUGGAGUGAAUAAAAUUUACUCUGACCAUAUUUACUGUCACCAAGUAAUAGUCCACCAUGUUGUCCUCUCUGAAACGGAGCACACAAUGAAGAGUUGAGAAAGUCUUGAAUCGUGAGUUGCACCUUUCCAAUAGGUAACAAUGUUGGAAAAAUUUCUAAAUUAGGAGUGCAUACACCCUGAACAUUGAUAUAAAACCAGUUCUUAUAUUUCUUGUAUUCCUCAGUAUCAGGAGUUGAUGGACACUUGAUGGGAAUCACUCCUGGGAAGUGCCCAUAUUCAGAGAAUUGCACUUUAUAGUUGGCUUGGCCAGCAGCAUCAGGAAACUUGAUGUAAAGACACCUCAGUUCACAAAUGGCCCUGCAGACUUUGUGAACUAUUCUACACACAGUUGCUUCACUGGCACUACACAAAUCACCAGUUUCACAAUGAAAGAUUCCAGAUGGCAAAAAAACCUAAAAGUGAUCAAUGCUUGGAGACAAUUGGGGAAAGGCCUUCCUCUUUGGGAAAGAGAGGAACGUCUAGGAUCAAGCAAAGAUAUUAUCUCCAAUUCAUUUUCUUUGUACAUAGGAAAACUAGCGAAAAAGCUAGUUCAAAGUAAUAUAAUAUUUUACUUAUAUCCUAGAGAAAUGGUAUUUCACCCCCUCUGUAUACUUGUAUAUGGCUGGUGUGACAAUAAAACUCUCUUGAAUCCA